CUGCCCCACGCCCGUCUCCGCCCGCGGGUCCCCUGCCCGCCAGCGACCGGGAGCCUUCCGUGGGGCGGGCGCCCCCUAGUGGCCUCCUGCGGAAAUGCACCCCGGUCUGAACCCAGCUGUGCCGCGCUGAGCUGCGCCUCCUGGAACUGUGGGUGUGGACAGGAGGUGCCAGGCCCCACACAGCUGCAGGGGCCGGGCUGCUACUCCCACCCGCCAGUAUUCCCCUGGAAGUGAGACCACAUCUGAAACUUCAUCACCACCAGUUGGCAGAGUCCUGCUCUUCAGCUUAGACUGACCUGGAAGUCCCUAUGUAGCCCAGGUUGGCCUCAAACUGGAGAUCCUCUUGCCUCAGCCUCCUGAGUACAGGGAUCACAGCAGCCACAGAGCUGAGCAGAGCCAAGUCCUUGGAGCCGCGCAGGGCAGUGACAGCAUCCCACAGAGGGGCACAGGGAGGCCGAGGACACGGCAGCAGGCCCACCGAGGGACGCCACCCCGUCCCCAGGAUACGGCCGGCCACAUUCGGACGGUGCUGGCAGUGCCAGGCCCGCCGGCUCCCUGUGCCAGCCGCUGCACCACACAGCCUCCCUGGGGGGCCCACCCACCACAGCCCCCACGGGGCAUGGGGCGCCUGGAAAAUGGAUCUCAGGGACAGAGAGCAGGUUCUGCACCUUCGGGUUACGGGCAGUUCUUACCUUUUGCUUUGUGGCUGUUUCCCUGGUAUUUGACAAGAAGUGUUCUUUUCGAGAAAAAAUG
This 753-nucleotide long non-coding RNA is filed under the name Heterocephalus glaber (naked mole-rat). Its description in RNAcentral is "lncRNA (ENSHGLG00000029153.2)". The record is from RNAcentral. Lineage: Eukaryota; Metazoa; Chordata; Mammalia; Rodentia; Bathyergidae.